This 514-nucleotide ribosomal RNA is filed under the name uncultured Streptococcus sp. RNAcentral describes it as "bacterial SSU rRNA". It matches the Rfam family "Bacterial small subunit ribosomal RNA", at positions 28 to 525 of the family's 1533-position model. The record is from RNAcentral. Lineage: Bacteria; Bacillati; Bacillota; Bacilli; Lactobacillales; Streptococcaceae.
GAUGAACGCUGGCGGCGUGCCUAAUACAUGCAAGUAGAACGCUGAAGCUUGGUGCNGCACCGAGCGGAUGAGUUGCGAACGGGUGAGUAACGCGUAGGUAACCUGCCUCUUAGCGGGGGAUAACUAUUGGAAACGAUAGCUAAUACCGCAUAAAAGUCGAUAUCGCAUGAUAUUGACUUGAAAGGUGCAAUUGCAUCACUAAGAGAUGGACCUGCGUUGUAUUAGCUAGUUGGUGAGGUAACGGCUCACCAAGGCGACGAUACAUAGCCGACCUGAGAGGGUGAUCGGCCACACUGGGACUGAGACACGGCCCAGACUCCUACGGGAGGCAGCAGUAGGGAAUCUUCGGCAAUGGACGGAAGUCUGACCGAGCAACGCCGCGUGAGUGAAGAAGGUUUUCGGAUCGUAAAGCUCUGUUGUAAGAGAAGAACGAGUGUGAGAGUGGAAAGUUCACACUGUGACGGUAACUUACCAGAAAGGGACGGCUAACUACGUGCCAGCAGCCGCGGUAAUA